RNA transcript from Clupea harengus (Atlantic herring), 3719 nucleotides. It is a transcript of the gene named R3H domain-containing protein 1, with no coding region annotated. Lineage: Eukaryota; Metazoa; Chordata; Actinopteri; Clupeiformes; Clupeidae. The transcript is spliced from 26 exons. The record is from RefSeq and is a predicted model, not a curated record.
UUUCAGUGAGUCCCAUAUCCUUUGCUUUACCUAGUCAAGCGUCUAGUGUUGCUGACUUAGCUACAGAUUGACUGCAACCAACCAGCAAUACAUGCUUAUGCGGCAUAAUUCAUUUAUCUAAAACACAAAAUACUGUCACCCUACCUGGUGUCAGAGGGGAAUGAGUGGCGUGUGGGCAGGCAGUGCUGGCGUGACCGGGCCCUGCAGCUGCCUCUGGUGACAGGGACAUGGGAGACUCUCCCCCAGCUUGCGGCUCACUCAGGCUCAGCACCACAGACUCCUCCUCCCCAGCGCCCCCACACACACUCCUCCUCGUCCCGGAGCCCGUGCCCGCGCUCCUGCUCACGCUCACGCUCCGCACCCCAGCGCCCAGCAGGACCCCACUCCAGGACCAGCAGCAGAGACCGCAUCGGGUCCCGUGCCUGUGGUAGGAGCUGGGCUGUGAACCCUGUCUGAUCUCUGAUGAGGAUGUCUGAGACUGUCGCUGCCAAGGAGCGGCCCGAGGCGAUGAAGGUUCCGGAGGCCACCGAGAGUGACGCCAUAGCGGCCGACACCACCAGCAGCAGCAGCAGCAGCAGCAGCAGCAGCACCGGAACCGGCCCACAGCCGGCCCAGACUCAACCCCCCACACACCCUGUCAGCCAGAGCCAGAGCCCGCCCCCAAGCGCAGCCAGCAGCGAGCCCGACCAAUCGGACGAGUGCUGCCAUGACGACAAGACCGAGGUACAGCCUGCUUCCCAAACCGCUGGUCCACCUGUGAGAAGGUCUAAGUCGAAUACAAAGUUAAAGUUAGUUCGGAGCCUGGCUGUGUGCGAAGAGUCUUCUUCUCCUCCACCUCCCCCUAUACCCGAGCUGCCACAAGAGCACCAGGAUGCGAUCCACAUCCAGCUGUCCCAGUCCUUCGAGACGGAGGAGCCGCCGGUCAGAGAGGAGGAUGAGGAGGAGGAGGAGGAGAAGGAGAGGAGCGCAGAAAAGACGGAGAAAUCCGAGAAGAUGCCAAGGAAGAUGCUGUCUAGAGAUUCCAGCCAAGAGUACACGGAUUCCACAGGCAUCGAUCUCCACGAGUUCUUAGUAAACACGUUGAAAAACAAUCCCCGGGAUAGGAUGAUGCUGUUGAAACUGGAGCAAGACAUUCUGGACUUCAUAAGCAAUAAUGAAAGCCAGAAGAGAAAGUUCCCCCCCAUGACAUCUUACCACAGGAUGUUGUUACACCGAGUCGCCGCCUACUUCGGCCUCGACCACAACGUCGAUCAAACGGGGAAAUCGGUCAUCAUCAACAAAACUAGCAAUACAAGAAUACCGGAUCAAAAGUUUUCCGAACAUAUCAAAGACGACAAGACGGACGACUUCCAGAAGCGCUACAUCCUGAAGCGAGAUAACUCCAGCCUGGACCGAGACGACGGCUCGAUGCGAAUGCGCCUGAAAGACGACCGGCGGAGCAAGUCCAUCGAGGAGAGAGAGGAGGAAUACCAACGGGCGCGGGAUCGAAUAUUUGCACCCGACGGCCAAGAUCAUUUUCAACUAGAAAAGAGGAUCCAGGAGGACGAGACGGGCAUGAGCACCCACCAACGGAGGCAGAUAUUCAGGUUGAGGGACGGGCGCUCGGCCAACAGUCGUCAGAGCAGCUCUGAGAACGAGCCGAAGUACGGGGAGCCUCGGCCGUGGAGCAGCACCGACUCGGACAGCUCGCACCGCAACCUCAAGCCGGCCAUGACCAAGGCCAGCAGCUUCAGCGGGAUCAGCGGCAUCUCCGGCAUCUCCGUGCUCAUCCGCGGGGACAGCUCCGGCAGCAGCAAGAGCACCGGCCGCCUCUCCAAGACAGGCCAGCCCUUUGUCAACCCUGACGGAAGUCCCGUGGUGUACAACCCAAGCAUGACCUCACAGGUGCGGGCACAGCAAGCCCUGCCCCUCCCCCCGCCCCCGCCUCCUCCCCCGCCUGUGCCACACCAGCAAGCCAAUCACGUGCUCGCCCAGCCAGUGCGAUCUCUCCAGCCCUCAGCGCAGCCUGUCCAGUACUCCACCAUCUCUUUCCAGCCUCAGCUCCUGCCUGUCUCCCCUAACCAACAAUACACUGUGCCGCAGGAGGGCCUGAGCGGCCAGUUUAGCCACCUGACCAUGGUGCAGCGGCAGCACUCGAGCGACGCCCCCGACCCCCACACUGCCAUGUACCCCUCGCCCGUGGUGGUGCAGGGCCCCCAGCAGGGCGGCUACGUGGUGGGGCCUCCGCCCGGUCAGCCCGGCCCGCCGCACACAGCCUACCCGCCCAAUCACGCGCCGCCGCCCGGCAGCCAGCAGGUCAUGCAACAGCAGAGCUACAUGCCACAGCCCAUGCAGCAGAUGACUGCGUGCUACUGUGCUCCAGGGCAGUACCCACACUCCAGCCAACAGCACUACCGGCCCGUCACACCCCUACACUACAGCAGCCCCCAGAACCAGCCCCCUCAACAGACAGGUUAUCAGACUGUGAUGCCAAAUCAAGCUCCUGGCUACCAGAAUGUGGUGGGAGUGCAACAACCUCAGAGUCAAAGCCUGGUGAGCAACCAGCACGGCAAUAUGGGCAAUCACAUGCAAGGCAUGAUGGUCCAGUACCCUCCAAUGCCAUCCUAUCAGCAGGUAUCAAUGCCCCAAGGAUCUCAGAGCAUGCCUCAACAGACAUAUCAGCAGCCAAUCCUGAUCCCCAACCAGGCAGGCCAGGGCCCCAUGCAGUCAUCAGGCAUGCAGGUCUACUACAGUGUGCUCCCUCCCAACCAGCACACCACGAUGAGCUCCACAGUGGGUUUCCUGUCCCCGCCGGGCUCGGAGCAGAUGCCGUUCCCCAGGGCCAACUCCCCCUGCAGCUCUCAGCCAAUCCCGACGCAGCCCUGCUCAGGUGUGCACGUGCCCUCUCAAGGUGGGGGGGUUGUGAUGAUGCAGCUGACGGUGCCCCCCUCCCACCAGACGCGCGCUCUCUCCCCCCAGCAGUGGAAGCACAACAAGUACUACAGCCUGGACCACCAGCGCAUGGACCACCAGCGCAGCCUCAAGGCCCCCGACCCCACGCCCCUGGACACCUCGCAGAACAGCCCCCAGCUGGGCAGUCCCUCCGGCUCCCCCGCGCCCCCCUCCCCCACCCCUGCCCACCUGGCCAACAUGAAGAACGUCCGUCCUGGCCUUGCCUCCCUUCCCAUCAUGCCUCACUUCUCCCGACCCUUCGUCCCUGGCCAAGGCGACACGCGGUACCCCCUCCUGGGGCAGCCCCUACAGUACAACCCCCCCAUCCGGCCCCCGCUGCUCCAUGGUACCCAUAUGGUUGCCAACCACCACCAUCACCACCACCAGGGCCCUGUGGGUAUCCGUCAGGGCGGGCGGGGCCGGCGGCCGACGCGGAAGGCUCUCUCCACAGAUCUGAGUGUCGGUGAAGCUGCAGGGAACGGCGUGGGGGGGGGCUGGGGCCCCCAGGGGCCCGCUUCAGCUCAACCCCCAGCCCAGCGCUCCUCACUCCCAGCCCCUCCAGCCAGCUACUACUACUACUGCAACCCUCGCUCCUGAGGCACCGCCGCCGCUCCCAUGCAUUACUGCAGCAGAUUUACAAGUGUGUGGUGAGCGGGCGUGUUCUGGAGGUGACGGACCUGCUGGAUGGGCUGAGCCGUGGCGUGGCGGACUCUCUGCUGGGCGAACUUGAGUCAGGCUGGAGCCGCCCUAAGAUGGCUGCCGACGCAGCACCACCCCCCCCCCCCCCC